ACGAGGGCGCACAAACUGCCGGCAACGAUUUUUGUUUGUAAGGACACAGUGUCCUUCCAUAGUCGUGCGAGGUCGAAUCCUCGGCUCCCUCCCUUCGACACCACCGACGGUGUGUCGAGGUCGAUCCGUCGAUGUCGCCCCCUCUCCCGCACCAGACCCCACGGAGAAGUCCGAGCCUCCUCCAUUGGCCUGCGAGCGUGGCGAUGACAAGCGCUAGAGGAACCGUUGCUGCUUGGCUCCUCCGCUGUCUCAGGGUCAUCGCGCCACCACCAUGUUGUCGCGCUCCUAUUCUCCGCGGCCCUCCACGGCUCGGCGCUGAUGAGGACCGACGGGAUCCCCGCCACUGCUUCCUCCACCCAGCGGCGAGAGCUGUGCCCGCUCUUCACUACGCCGGCGCACCACGCUGCUCAGAUCCGUCAUGGUGGAAACCCGAUACAGGUGGCCUUCCUUCAGAUCUUUUUUGGUUUCUGUCAAAUUUGUCAGCUGCUCAGAGGAGGUGAGGCUGUUAUUCUUUUUUGUUUGAUGGGAGUUAUUCCCAACUUAUUGUUUGGUCGAUUUUGUUCCUGCUACCAUGGACAGCCAGCCACCAUGGCCUCUGAACUUUUGGCUGUUCGUGAGCUUGGAGAGCUGACACUUCGCUUUUUUGUGCCUAUAUUUGGCCACAUUGUUUCUUAGCAAAUAUUCAUCAUCUAACAUUAUACAUAUGAUUCUCUGUUUUGCCACUGCAGAGGAAGUGAGUAGAAUACGUAGGGAAAAAGAAGAAGGAAACAACAGUCUUGCAAGCUAAUAAAGAAACAGUAGCUUGCUCACAAAAUUUCUAUGAGUGCACACAGUUUUCGCCGAACGACUCCACCGGCGACCACCAUCCUCCGUGGAACGCCUUCCCUCAUCGCGAGCUAGCGUACUCUCCGAGCAGGCCUCCUCCCGGCAAGCUUCACCGAGCACCAACCUGCGGGUCCACAUCCUCUGCAAUGAAGCAACCGAGCAUCUACCCUCCGCAACGUUCUUCCCCUGGAUCAAUAGCGCUGCCUCCUUUUCCCCUUUAUUUGUCAGGUUUCCCUACAGAAGUUGAUGGGGGUUUCGAAGAUCUUCAAGAUGCUGAAGAUUUGGGAGAUUCGGAAGAUCUUUAAGCUGUUGAAGAUAUGGUAGAGUGAUUAUGCUUUGUUUGUGGAACCUAUACACUUGCUCUGCUCAUUUUGCCGGUUGUUAGGCCACAAUAUGCUCAUUUUGGUUGUGUGGCACCCCAGAAACAUAUGUUCUUUUGUGGCACACAUGUAGAAACAUAUAUGUAUUGUACCUUUUGUGGCACAACCUGCUUAUAUAUAUAUGGUUGUUAUGUUAAUUUAUCGAAUUGACUUUAAGGUUUUGGA
Molecule: long non-coding RNA, 1370 nt
Organism: Triticum urartu
Lineage: Eukaryota; Viridiplantae; Streptophyta; Magnoliopsida; Poales; Poaceae
Source: RefSeq, a predicted model, not a curated record